GUGCCAGCAGCCGCGGUAAUACGUAGGGGGCAAGCGUUGUCCGGAUUUAUUGGGCGUAAAGAGCGUGUAGGCGGCCAGGCAGGUCCGCUGUGAAAACUCGAGGCUCAACCUCGAGAUGUCGGUGGAAACCGCCUGGCUAGAGUCCGGAAGAGGAGAGUGGAAUUCCUGGUGUAGCGGUGAAAUGCGCAGAUAUCAGGAAGAACACCCAUGGCGAAGGCAGCUCUCUGGGACGGUACUGACGCUGAGACGCGAAAGCGUGGGGAGCGAACAGGAUUAGAAACCCGUGUAGUCC
This 292-nucleotide ribosomal RNA is filed under the name uncultured bacterium. Its description in RNAcentral is "partial 16S ribosomal RNA". It matches the Rfam family "Bacterial small subunit ribosomal RNA", at positions 505 to 796 of the family's 1533-position model. The record is from RNAcentral.